GCAAACUUCACAUACAUCUUGAGGAUCAUAUUGAUGCUCUGUAAUUAGUGUGCAAACGAAACAUAUAAACUCACAUAAGUUAAGCGUGUACUAGCGGGCGAGUUGCUGCAAGGGCUACGCUGUCAUAAAAUGGAAAAAAACAAACGUUGGCAAAACUGUCCGCCGAAAGAGAAGGUGAAACCGCUUCCGCAAACGACGCACAACAGUAGAGAAAGCUGAGCCGGGGAGUAAGGUGCAAAACUUGCUCGGGAGAGUAGGAAUUCGUGAUUCGUGUCAGCCGUAAGGGGCACAGUUGCGAGGCUGGAAGAAGCAUCUAUUCACUCCCAGUUCAUCGCAACUAAAGGAAAUCGCAAAAUAUCGUAAAAUAUCGUACUCGAACAGCACGUGUGUCGGCAGUUCUUAUCACCCGGACCACUCAGUUCUCUCGUAUUAAGUGUCGCUUUCCCGGCGGGCACCCGGAUUGCAUGCCAUAUAAACACAGCUCUUGGGCGUAGAGGACAUCCACGCAAGAACCGGAUCGCGAGUCGAUUGAAUAGCCAGAGUAAAGCAAAAGUAACUGAGUAACGGAAAAGCCUGCGGAAGCAGGCUUUUCUUUUCUGCUUUACGCUGCAGCAGAUUCGGCGAUACGCGGUGUGCAAUCGGCCAGAAAGACAGAGCUGCUCGGACGUGAAUCGUUGUAGUGACGAGUUGCCAUCAGACAAACCUGACGUGCGAGUGAAGGAAGCGUACCGAGAACACGGUGCUCGAUCGGUCAGAAAGGCACCGGAAGUGCAACAGCGGCAUUGGCCAUCGCAGCUGCCGGAGGAGGAACGUGUGGUGCGAGAGGACAGUGCGGGAGCAUCGGGGAGAUUCCCCAAUCAAACACAACGGUGAGCGUCGAACAGACUCUUUGGUACGGCGGCAUGUUCGGCAAAUGGACUACGCUGUCUGGCGACGAGAGCGACGUUUAAGGUGAAUGUUCGUCGUGCCAACACGGUUCGUAUCAAGAAAUGAAAGGGUGCACCCUCGGCGAUGAAGCGUGAGUAAAGAAAACAUUGUAAUAGAAGCUGAAAAGACAGGGCUAGAUAGAGUAGGUAGAGCUUAGGCUAAGAAGAGGAAUGUUGGGCGAAUAAAGUUUGCACACUAUGUCAGUUAAUUUGUCAUGUAGUCAAUGUUAACUAGCCGGUCCGAUUUGUGGCGCUAAUAUACGCAGAAAG
This is a long non-coding RNA of Armigeres subalbatus, 1196 nucleotides long. RefSeq lists it as uncharacterized. NCBI's taxonomy places the organism in Eukaryota, Metazoa, Arthropoda, Insecta, Diptera, Culicidae. The transcript is spliced from 4 exons. The record is from RefSeq and is a predicted model, not a curated record.